CCUACGGGAGGCAGCAGUGGGGAAUAUUGGGCAAUGGGCGCAAGCCUGACCCAGCAACGCCGCGUGCAGGCAGACGGCUCUCGGGUUGUAAACUUCCUUUUAGAGGGGAGUGAAGAAGACGGUACCUCUUGAAUAAGCCACGGCUAACUACGUGCCAGCAGCCGCGGUAAUACGGAGGUGGCAAGCGUUAUCCGGAUUUACUGGGUGUAAAGGGAGCGUAGUCGGUUAUGUAAGUCUGGAGUGAAAGCCCGGGGCCCAACUCCGGGACUGCUUGGGAAACUGUGUAACUGGAGUACAGGAGGGGCAGGCGGAAUGUCUGGUGUAGCGGUGAAAUGCUUAGAGAUCAGGAAGAACACCGACUGCGAAGGCAGCCUGCUGGACUGAAACUGACGUUGAGGCUCGAAAGCGUGGGGAGCAAACAGGAUUAGAUACCCGUGUAGUC
This 442-nucleotide ribosomal RNA is filed under the name uncultured bacterium. Its description in RNAcentral is "partial 16S ribosomal RNA". It matches the Rfam family "Bacterial small subunit ribosomal RNA", at positions 338 to 795 of the family's 1533-position model. The record is from RNAcentral.